Salarias fasciatus (jewelled blenny) is the source of this 265-nucleotide long non-coding RNA. RefSeq lists it as uncharacterized. The record is from RefSeq and is a predicted model, not a curated record. Lineage: Eukaryota; Metazoa; Chordata; Actinopteri; Blenniiformes; Blenniidae. The transcript has 3 exons.
GCUCCUACUGUGUAACGUGUGUGUUUGGGAUGCUGCUGUGUCAGGCUUUACCCAGUGUGUGUGUGUGUGCGUGAGCGUGUGUUCGGUCAUCGUAGAGGGCUGACUGGGCUGUGCCGUGUGUGCGUAUUGAAAAGUUUACAGUGUAAGUCCAUGUUCUGUGUGUGCGUGUGUGUGUGUGUGUGUGUGUGACUGGCAGUCCUCCCUUUACUUUGCUGAUGUUUACAGCAACAGAAAAGCGACAUGACAUGUUUUUUUUUAAAAUUCA